RNAcentral lists this transfer-messenger RNA (367 nucleotides) under Propionibacteriaceae. RNAcentral describes it as "Propionicimonas sp002841335 Standard tmRNA". It matches the Rfam family "transfer-messenger RNA". From Rfam's summary of the family: Bacterial tmRNA, also known as 10Sa RNA or SsrA, is named for its dual tRNA and mRNA-like properties. Lineage: Bacteria; Bacillati; Actinomycetota; Actinomycetes; Propionibacteriales. The record is from RNAcentral. RNAcentral also lists the same sequence under 1 other name.
GGGGGUGACUGGUUUCGACUCGGGACGAUAGUCCCAGGAGAAGCGGGCCGAGGAUCGGGGACAUCUCGUAAACGAUUCCCGAAAACCAAUAAGUGCCGAUUCCAAUCGCACUGACUUCGCUCUCGCUGCCUGAGCAGUGACCGAAGGGUCAGCCCGGACAUGCCUUCGGUCCGGAUCCUGGCCUCAUUUAGAGGGCUUGCUGUGCUGACCUCGUUCUAGGGUCGGCGCGGGACUUUCAUAGAACUGGGCUGGUUCACCACGUGCCGGUGAGAGGGUGACAGCCAAGCAGAACGCCUAACCGGCUGCGCCCGGAGAAGACCUGGGUCACCGCUUGAGGACGCGGGUUCAAUUCCCGCCACCUCCACGA